AUUGAACGCUGGCGGAAUGCUUUACACAUGCAAGUCGAACGGCAGCACGGACUUCGGUCUGGUGGCGAGUGGCGAACGGGUGAGUAAUAUAUCGGAACGUGCCCAGUCGUGGGGGAUAACGUAGUGAAAAUUACGCUAAUACCGCAUACGAUCUAAGGAUGAAAGCGGGGGAUCGCAAGACCUCGCGCGAUUGGAGCGGCCGAUAUCAGAUUAGGUAGUUGGUGGGGUAAAGGCUCACCAAGCCAACGAUCUGUAGCUGGUCUGAGAGGACGACCAGCCACACUGGAACUGAGACACGGUCCAGACUCCUACGGGAGGCAGCAGUGGGGAAUUUUGGACAAUGGACGCAAGCCUGAUGCAGCAACGCCGCGUGAGGGACGACGGCCUUCGGGUUGUAAACCUCUUUUUCUACGGGUAGGAAGUUCAAAUGACGUGUACC
This 439-nucleotide ribosomal RNA is filed under the name uncultured bacterium. Its description in RNAcentral is "bacterial SSU rRNA". It matches the Rfam family "Bacterial small subunit ribosomal RNA", at positions 30 to 479 of the family's 1533-position model. The record is from RNAcentral.